UACCAGCUCUCCGAGUGGUAGGGAUGAUUAUUGGGCUUAAAGCGUCCGUAGCCGGCUUAGCAAGUCUCCUGUUAAAUUCAGCGACCUAAUCGUUGAGCCGCGGGAGAUACUACUAGGCUAGGAGGCGGGAGAGGUCAACGGUACUUCCGGGGUAGGGGUGAAAUCCUAUAAUCCCGGGAGGACCACCAGUGGCGAAGGCUGUUGACUGGAACGCGCUCGACGGUGAGGGACGAAAGCUGGGGGAGCGAACCGGAUUAGAUACCCGGGUAGUCCCAGCUGUAAACGAUGCGAGCUAGGUGUUGGGGUGGCUACGUGCCACUUCAGUGCCGCAGGGAAGCCAUUAAGCUCGCCGCCUGGGGAGUACGGCCGCAAGGCUGAAACUUAAAGGAAUUGGCGGGGAGCACCACAAGGCGUGAAGCUUGCGGUUC
Molecule: ribosomal RNA, 428 nt
Filed under: uncultured archaeon
Lineage: Archaea
Description: bacterial SSU rRNA
Rfam family: Archaeal small subunit ribosomal RNA
Source: RNAcentral